This 1741-nucleotide long non-coding RNA is filed under the name Nicotiana tabacum (common tobacco). Its description in RNAcentral is "long non-coding RNA (NTAB_LNC011304)". Lineage: Eukaryota; Viridiplantae; Streptophyta; Magnoliopsida; Solanales; Solanaceae. The record is from RNAcentral.
GAAAAUUCGCUAAAUGGCACGCCUCAAUUUCUGAGGAUAAACAAGACUAAUUAAACGAGGGCCAUGCAUUUGUCAUUUUUGUUUGGUACAACGCACCUCAAUUCUAAUUUAAAGAAAAAGAAUUCAAGUUAUAUUUGGAGGGCCAUGAACUAUUUAUGUUAUCUAGUAUGGCUCACCCCCCACUAAUUAAAGAAGCUCAAUUACCCUACUAAGCUAGAAAUAUUUGGAUAACUUACCAUGGCAAUUUAUAAUAAAUAACAGCUUCAUUUCAAUCAAACGAUCAAAUAGCAAAUCGCUAAUGGCAGCGAACUUGGUAGCAAAUUAUGCUUCAACUUCUGUGUCAUAUAGACCAAAUUCCAAUACAUAACUAAAUCCCAAAGUCUCACGUUCUCAAGGGAAAAUGGAGAACUCAUUCCUGAGGUUAGUCUCAUGACUACUUGUAACCAUUUUUAGGAUCAUUUUUGGCUUUAACACUCUUUUGAUUAACAGUACAUGUCAAACAAUUGAUGCUUUUCUAAAUAGCUUAACUUCCUGGGAACAUGAUGAUCAAGGAAAACAAUUCCUAUCAAUGCUCAAAACAUUCAGAAAGCAAAAGCGGAAAUUAACGUCCCUUUCACAAAGAACCUUACUACAUGCAACUUGCUUAGUUUUGUCAUUUACACAUCAGCUGAUUCAAAUCCAAUUGUCAAAUGCACCUUUUAAGCAAAAAAAAAAAAAAAACCAACAUCAAGGAAUAAGUCUGAAUGGAUAUGAAUAAAAUAAUCUAUGCUAUCAUUGAGGCAUUGAAUAGAAGAAUCGAUAUUAUAACUCAUCCCUCUGUUUUAAAAGCCCUUACAAAAACAAAAUGGCUACAUGUGCAGCAUCUUCAUUUUAAUUUCUUCCUAUUAUUCUUUAGCAUCACUUUAACGAUUGCAAAUGGAAAUGAAUCUGGAGAUGUCGUACAACUUAUAUUAGCUCUAUAAAUGCUACUGAUUUGCCUAGUGGGAGAUACAAAUGCACUUGAAUAACCACUAGUCGGAUCACACAAUUUACAUUAGCUAGAAACAGAAACAACCGAAGAUGUAAGGAAUUAAUUUCUUGUUGUAUGACACACUAUUUCAGCAAAUCCAAACCCAGACAUCAUAAGUUCAAUAGUUGAAACAAUUGGCUUUUCAAACACCCAUGUGACAGUAAAUACCAAAGCGAAAAUCAGUAAACAAAUUUAACAGCUAAACAUGAUGGCUCCGUGAAUUCAAAACAAAUCUGUAACACGAAUAAAUCCAGAUUUUUAUCUAUGAAUUCAACAAAGGGGUCAUAGAUGAGUAUAGCGAACCUUAAACGAAAAAUCGACAAAAAGAAAUGACCAAAUAAGGUCUACACUUUAAAGCUGGAGCUCAACUACUAAACGCAGAAUCAACAGCGAAAUCAACAACAAUCAACAAAUGAACAGCAAUCCAGUUUCUAGAUUUUUUUUGAAGAACAGAACCUCGGACAGAAUCUCUUACCGGUGAUCAGAUCUGGCGGAACCAAACGGAGUUCAUGAAGGCUGCCGGAAUUCUAAGGGGUUCUGGUUUAAGAUGGAAGUGGUUCCAUUUAGGUUCUUGUGUAUGCGCUUUAGGUGAUGACGGGAUGAGGAGGAGGGUCGUUUCUUGUUGAAGAUAGAGAGGGGUCAGAGAGAGCAGUGAGAUUGAAGGAGAAUAAGAAGAAGGGUCCUCCUUUGAGAUCCGCCGUUUCUCUAUAUUUUCUGAAGGUAAGGGAUCCU